AAGAAAAAAAAAGGUUUGCAUACAGAUAAUAUAUAAAUAAAUAAAUAUUAUCCGUAACAGUGCUGCCUGCCUGUGUCAGCUCCGCCUCCGUGAGCUGCUGGAGCCUCACACCGGGAUUCCACAUCUCACGUCACCGCCCCGCUCCAGCCCGCCGCGGGCCGCCUCCGAAGGAUUCCGAAAUCAAACGCCCACUGCACACGUCUUGCUCCGUCUGGGCUCCACUCCGCCCAACCGCGGAGCUGAGGAGAGCAUGCGCAAGACGUACGAGAUCACGCGAUAAAAUGUGUGUACAAAAAUGCACGUAGGACAGAGUUAAAGUGAUAGUCUGGAUGUUGUCAGAAAGAGAGAGAGAGAGGGACUCUUUUUGAAAAAAACGGCCCAAGCUCCCUCCCCCUCCCGUCCUGAUUGGUCUUGGAAGCCACGCCUGUUUUCCCGUGCACGCGCGAGGUUCAAUGGGCCAAGAAGUGACGAGGAGGAGACAUUACGGUGACAGUGUCAACAAUGGAGUUAUCCGAGGUAACGAUGCAUUUAUGGUACAAAAUGUUUGUGUUUUGGGGAUAACACGUUUAUGCAGCUAACUCUGUACUAAAAUUUCAAUUAAACGGGCAUAUCCAGUGAACAUGUAGUUUUGACAUAGUUUAGCAUGUAACAUGGUUUACUUUUAUGAUGCUAACAGUUACAAAGUUAGCGUACGAUUUACUGUCCGGUCCUGUCUGUCAUCUUUUUUGUGUUUUAAACCACUUUAGAUUUGGGCCUUCUUGCUUAUGUUUUGUUUUUUCUAAUUAUGUUUUAUCUUUUUUGUCUUCAAAACUCUGUGAGAGACUCCGAUGAUAAAUAAACCCCACCUGCAGCAUCAAGCAAACGAUUCUAGAUGCUCCAAAAGCAUCUGUGGCCAGAGGCAGCUGGAGACCCAGCUUAGACUUUAGUGAAGAGGAUUCAGCCCGUGUUCAUAACCUAAGAAUGCAGAGGCUACACUUCGAACGUGGAGUAGGACACAUACAGAAUAUGACUCUGGAGAUCAAGACGUGUUAUUCAGGGUGGAGGACAAAGACCCUGGUGUUCUGUUUGACAUCACCUCUCACACUGCACCUCCUGGAAGACACUCACCCACUGAAAAUCAGCCCCCCGGUGCAGAUGUGCCCACUGCCGGGAAACGCCCACCUCUAGAGAACUUCAUAUCUAAAGUGCCACACGUGGAGACUAAUUCAGACACAUUUUCUGAUCCUGAUGGGCACUACAUUGGAUUUAUACCACAUCGAUUGUAAUUUACAUUUCAAUUGAAGUCACUUUGCUUUGUUUUAUGAGAAUAAAGAAUGCAAUAUAAGACAGACUUGUACUUUCAAAGCACAACUAACAUAUUGCCUAAAAAAGCUCUUGCACAGAAAUAGCAUCUCAUAACUUGUCAGGAAAACAUUUGUUUACAGAUAUAAACAAACAAUGGUCAACUAUUUUUCAACAAAAACUUUAUUUACAAUUAAAAUGACAAAUUAUUGAUAUUUCUGUGGCAAUCGUUGACCUGCAAAAAAGCAAA
RNAcentral lists this long non-coding RNA (1531 nucleotides) under Neogobius melanostomus (round goby). RNAcentral's name for it is "lncRNA (ENSNMLG00000021440.1)". The record is from RNAcentral. Lineage: Eukaryota; Metazoa; Chordata; Actinopteri; Gobiiformes; Gobiidae.